GACGAACGCUGGCGGCGUGCUUAACACAUGCAAGUCGAACGGAAAGGCCCUGCUUUUGUGGGGUGCUCGAGUGGCGAACGGGUGAGUAACACGUGAGUAACCUGCCCUUGACUUUGGGAUAACUUCAGGAAACUGGGGCUAAUACCGGAUAGGAGCUCCUGCUGCAUGGUGGGGGUUGGAAAGUUUCGGCGGUUGGGGAUGGACUCGCGGCUUAUCAGCUUGUUGGUGGGGUAGUGGCUUACCAAGGCUUUGACGGGUAGCCGGCCUGAGAGGGUGACCGGCCACAUUGGGACUGGGAUGCGGCCCAGACUCCUACGGGAGGCAGCAGUGGGGAAUAUUGCACAAUGGGCGGAAGCCUGAUGUAGCAAAGCCGCGUGCGGGAUGACGGCCUUCGGGUUGUAAACCGCUGUCGCCUGUGACGAAGCGUGAGUGACGGUAAUGGGUAAAGAAGCACCGGCUAACUACGUG
RNAcentral lists this ribosomal RNA (468 nucleotides) under uncultured bacterium. RNAcentral's name for it is "partial 16S ribosomal RNA". It matches the Rfam family "Bacterial small subunit ribosomal RNA", at positions 28 to 507 of the family's 1533-position model. The record is from RNAcentral.